RNAcentral lists this non-coding RNA (30 nucleotides) under Mus musculus (house mouse). Lineage: Eukaryota; Metazoa; Chordata; Mammalia; Rodentia; Muridae. The record is from RNAcentral.
GAGCUACUACCAAGACUGUUUGAGAAUCCC